Molecule: small RNA, 547 nt
Filed under: Pan troglodytes (chimpanzee)
Lineage: Eukaryota; Metazoa; Chordata; Mammalia; Primates; Hominidae
Description: processed transcript
Source: RNAcentral
ACUUUCUCAAACUUUUGCCGAGGGGUGGCGAGAAGGUAGACGUCCAGGUCCCACCCGAUAUAGAUUAAGGGCUGGCAACACAGUCAAGGGGAAAUUAUGACCAAGACAACCUUUGCUAAAAUGCCAGCGGUGACUGCCAUUGAUGUUCCUAUAAAAGUCCAGUUACAACACAGGGAUCACAACAAACACAACCGCCACAGAAGCACUAUGGCAUUACUUCUCCUAUCAGCUUAGCAGCCCCCAAGGAGACUGACUGCGUACUUACACAGAAACUAAUUGAGACAUUGAAACCCUUUGGGGUUUUUGAAGAGGAAGAGGAACUGCAGCGCAGGAUUUUAAUUUUGGGAAAACUAAAUAACCUGGUAAAAGAGUGGAUACGAGAAAUCAGUGAAAGCAAGAAUCUUCCACAAUCUGUAAUUGAAAAUGUUGGAGGAAAAAUUUUUACAUUUGGAUCUUACAGAUUAGGAGUGCAUACAAAAGGUGCUGAUAUUGAUGCGUUGUGUGUUGCACCAAGACAUGUUGAUCGAAGUGACUUUUUCACCUCAUU